UGUCGAUAUGUCCGAGUGGUUAAGGAAACGGACUUAAAAUCAGUCGGGCUUUGCCUGCGCAGGUUUGAAUCCUACUGUCAACGU
This 84-nucleotide transfer RNA is filed under the name Rosa chinensis. RNAcentral describes it as "tRNA RchiOBHm_Chr5g0079121". It matches the Rfam family "tRNA". From Rfam's summary of the family: Transfer RNA (tRNA) molecules are approximately 80 nucleotides in length. Their secondary structure includes four short double-helical elements and three loops (D, anti-codon, and T loops). Lineage: Eukaryota; Viridiplantae; Streptophyta; Magnoliopsida; Rosales; Rosaceae. The record is from RNAcentral.